Molecule: ribosomal RNA, 460 nt
Filed under: uncultured bacterium
Lineage: Bacteria
Description: partial 16S ribosomal RNA
Rfam family: Bacterial small subunit ribosomal RNA
Source: RNAcentral
CCUACGGGUGGCAGCAGUGAGGAAUAUUGGUCAAUGGACGCGAGCCUGAACCAGCCAUGUAGCGUGCAGGAUGACUGCCCUACGGGUUGUAAACUUCUUUUAUAAAAGGAUAAAGUGAGGCACGUGUGCCUUUUUGUAUGUACUUUAUGAAUAAGGAUCGGCUAACUCCGUGCCAGCAGCCGCGGUAAUACGGAGGAUCCGAGCGUUAUCCGGAUUUAUUGGGUUUAAAGGGAGCGUAGAUGGGUUGUUAAGUCAGUGGUGAAAGGUUGCGGCUCAACCGUAAAAUUGCAAUUGAUACUGGUAGACUUGAGUACAGUUGAGGUAGGCGGAAUGUGUGGUGUAGCGGUGAAAUGCUUAGAGAUCAUGAAGAACUCCGAUUGCGAAGGCAGCUUACCAAACUGCCACUGACAUUGAGGCUCGAAAGUGUGGGUAUCAAACAGGAUUAGAUACCCCAGUAGUC